UACGGAGGGUGCAAGCAUUAAUCGGAUUUAUUGGGCGUAAAGGGCGCGUAGGCGGGUAGAUAAGUCAGAUGUGAAAUCCUGGAGCUCAACUCCAGAACUGCAUUUGAAACUGUCUGUCUAGAGGGUAGGCGGAGAAAAUAGAAUUCCACAAGUAGCGGUGAAAUGCGUAGAUAUGUGGAAGAAUACCAGUGGCGAAGGCGAUUUUCUAGCUUAUACCUGACGCUGAGGCGCGAAAGCAAGGGGAUCAAACAGG
This 253-nucleotide ribosomal RNA is filed under the name uncultured bacterium. RNAcentral describes it as "partial 16S ribosomal RNA". It matches the Rfam family "Bacterial small subunit ribosomal RNA", at positions 524 to 776 of the family's 1533-position model. The record is from RNAcentral.